CUGGGCGCCUCUGGAACAACACCAGAUGUCACUUUUCCACCCACCUGCCUCUGGGAGGGAGGAGCCGAGAAGCAGAGGACAGAAGCUCCCGGGCGGGGGUUAGGAGGAACCGAGAGAGGACUUGGCUGCCAGGAGAAGGCAAUUUCCUCGUUCUUGGAGAUGUUGUUGAGGAAGAGCAGGCGGCUGCACUUGCUCUGCACAGGACUCAGGCUCCCAGCCUUGGGGCUGAUGGAGAAGAGGCAAUUGUCCUGCACGCGCAUCUGGUGGAGCUCAGUGGAAUUCAACUCUGCUUGCUCUGCCCAGAGCUCCACGUCAAUCCGCUGGUCACUUGGAAGGAGGAAGGCCCUGGGAGAGGGGUGCAAAGCCAUACAAAGAAACUGGUCAGGCAGAACAGAGAGGCAGGGGCUCUGAGACCCUGAUGGGCAGGUGGAGGCUUCUUCCAUGACUCCCGCACUUCAUGCACCCAUUUGGCAAACUGUCCCAUGUGUGCCUGAGCAAAUGUGGCUGUUGUGGAUUCUCGUUUCAUAAUGGCCCCAAAACCCAGGAACAGACUCUGGGCCACGGCGACUCAAGAAGUGAAGAGUGGGGCUCCCACUGUGGAUGCCAGGAGUCAAGGUGUUGCUUGAAUAUGGGGGCCACUUUGAGCUGGCCAUGAACCCUUCUGUGACAAAGCUCUUGGGAAAGGGCCAUUUGGGACACCUAGGAAGGCUGGCAGCACCAACCAGCAGCCCCAGGGAGUGGGGUGUCCAGGCCAACUUGGGCACAGGGUGGAGAACAGAUGCCCCAGCAGGGCUGGCACUCUUGAAACAGAAGCAAGGCUGUGCACAGAGUUAAUGCCCCUGACAUGCCUAGGACUGCGGUAAAGUAGAUAAUGCACCUUAAGUAGCCGACAAAACUAGUGACAAAGGGUCCUGAGGUCACAAUCUGAAAGGAGAACCCAUUUCACUCUCGGAGAUGGCACAGAACUGGUUCCAGCUGCAAACCGGGUGGAGGAUACGAUAGGGAGCAUCCAGAAAAGGAAAAGAAAGUGCCCAACACACACCUGAGAGAAAGCGCACAACGCACACCUGAGAGAAAGCACGCAACGCGCACCUGAGAGAAAGCACGCAACACACACCUGAGAGAAAGCACGCAACACACACCUGAAAGUGCGCAACACACACCCGAAGAGAAUGCGCGCAACAAACACCUGAGAGGAAGUGUGCAACGCAUACCUGAGAGCACGCAACACACACCUGAGGAGAAUGCAUGCAACACACACCUGAGAGGAAGCACGCAACACACACCUGAGGAGAAUGCAUGCAACACACACCUGAGAGAAAGCGCACAAAAGCAACCUGAGAGAAAAUGCACAACACACACCCGAGGAGAAUGCGCACAACACACACCUGAGAGGAAGCGUGCAACACACACCUGAGGAGAAUGCACGCAACACACACCUGAGGAGAAUGCGUGCAACACACACCUGAGGAGAACGCGUGCAACACACACCUGAGAGAAAGCACACAACACACACCUGAGGAGAAUGCACACAACACACACUUGAGAGGAAGUGCACAACACACACCUGAGGAGAAUGUGCGCAACACACACCUAAGGAGAACGCGUGCAACACACACCUGAGGAGAAUGCACGCAGCACACACCUGACGGGAAGUGUGCAACACGCACCUGAAAGAAGGCACGCAACACACACCUGAGAGAAAGCACACAACGCACACCUGAGAGAAAGCGUGCAACACGGGCCUGGAAGCCUCAGUAGGAGUCAGGGAGGCCUAAGUCCAAACCCUCAGAAGGAACCAGUCUUAACUUUUUUCACAUCUGAAGCAUGAAGAAUAGUAAUAUUCAACACUGGAAGAAGUCCAAACUGUCUGAAGAAGGAUUCAAAGGCCCUGUAUGUCCUGGCCCCUGCCCGCCUCCUCAGCCUCUUCUGAGACUCUCCACCCGCUGCUCCAGCCACGCGGUGUACACACCAGGCCCUCUGUCUGGAAGGCGCUUCACAACCUUUCUGCCUUUUCCCGCGAGGCUGUAGGUCUAGCUUAGUUGUAGCUUUCUCCAGGAAGCCCUUCUGAAAUGCUGCACACACCUCCUUCACAGCACAUAUGACCCCGCAACAGGAGGCUAGUCUGCAGCGCCUCGAGGGAAGAGACUGGGCCCAUCCACAUUUCUAUCCUGAAGACCAGCCCAGAGCCAGCAUCUAGGAAGCACCCAGUAAAGGUGUGGCCAAUGAAUUAAAGACUGGAUGAAUGAACAAAUGAUGUUAACCAGCAUAUUUGACAUCUGAAAAGAAUCUCCCCUUAAAUGCAAGACCCUACGAAGGCCAGGGCCAGGUAAAGCAGAGGCGCGAAGGGGAGAAGGCGUGGAGGGAGUGGGGCAGCUGCAUGGUUCCCUGCUUCCCCUGGAGCUCCC
RNAcentral lists this long non-coding RNA (2408 nucleotides) under Homo sapiens (human). RNAcentral describes it as "HSALNT0047403". Lineage: Eukaryota; Metazoa; Chordata; Mammalia; Primates; Hominidae. The record is from RNAcentral.